GAUUAGUUAACCAUUCUUCUAAUUUGUGAUGUAAUUUUUAAAAAAAAUUCCUAUUGUAGAAGCUUUUAAUAAAACUUGCAGGUUCCCUACAUAUGUGGGAGCUGUGGUGGCGCAAUGGUUAGAAUACAGUACUGCAGGCUGACUCUAACCACUGCUAGGAGUUCAAUCUUGACUGGCUCAAGGUUGACUCAAGUUUCCUUUCUUCCGAGGUUGGUAUAAUGAGGACCCAGAUUGUUGGGGACAAUAUGCUGACUCUGUAAAGCUUACUGUAAAGCACUACCGUUUCCCCCCGAAAAUAAGAUCCUGUCUUAUAUUUUUUUGAACCCCAAAAUAAGCGCUUGGCCUUAUUUUCAGCGAGGUCUUUUUAUUUUGGGGUGCAUGGAGGAAACCAGAGGAAACGGCGGGGAACGGCUGCUCAUGCGUUUAAAUAUUUUCGGGGAGGGCUUAUUUUCAGCAGGGUUUAUUUUAGUGCAUGCGCUCAAAAGCCCGAUUGGGCUUAUUAUCAGAGGAUGUCUGAUUUUAGGGAAAACAGGGUAUGAAGUUGCUAAGUGUUAUUACUAUAUGCAACUUUGUAUGCAGAACUUUCUGCAUGUAUGAAAUCUGAAGAACUUUAUAAUUAAAAUUAUUUUAUUUAAAAAAAUCUUACAUUUUGAAAUGCAAGAUGUGCAUAUUGAACCUUCUAGGCACCUUUCCAAUUACAUUAAAGUUAAAGCUCAGUGCUAAUGCAAGUAAUACUCCCCAAUGGUUUAGCUAUAUUUAUAUCCUGAACUAGAUUUUUGAAAUUUUCUGGUAUUAAAAUCAUGGUCACUGCUCUUACUUCAGCUUCAUCCUAAAUAAUUCUGUCUUAGAGCAGUUAAUUGCACCUAGAAAUAGUGUUGCUGAUACAGCCUUCCCCAACCUGGUAUCUUCAGAUGUACAUGGUGACAAUUGUCUAUUGGAAUCCCCUCAGAGAAUUCUGUGGGAAUUCUGUGUUCCAAUGAAUCUGGAAGCAUUCAGUUGAGAAACACUACGUAGAUUAAGUUCUGUAAACCCAGCCUGCAUGAAGCAAAUUGAAAUUCCUCACUAUAAGUGUCUUACCAUGUCUUUUGCCAUUUCAGGAUGCUAUCACUGCUAAGUCGAGAGACAAAUAUUUGCCCAUACAUGAAUACUGUAAGAACAGCCUUUAAGAGCUAGAAAUGGAAUUUAUUUCUGGCUAGACAUUUCACUUUUGGAAUAAGAGGCAUGGUAGGUAACAUCACAAAUGUGGGUGACACCAACAUUUUUGGAUCUUUUAUGCAAUUUGGAGGGCAGGAAAGAUAAAAGGACAAUGGAUUUUUUUUUAAUUGUCUGAUAGAGCUUCAAGAUACCCAUACUGAAUUUUAAAUCCCCAAAGAGAAAAUCAUCUCAUGGAGGGUUUCAGGGCCUAAGCCUCUACCAAGAAUAAAGAAUCACAGAACAGAAAUCUUGAGAGGACUCUUGGAAUUGGUGACUAUAGCAUCCUCAAUAAAUGACCAAGGAGAAUCCACUACUAUCCAAAAUAGUGUUCUACUAUCAAGACAAAAAAAAUAUAAAUCCAACCAUCUUUUUUUCUCUGCACAA
This is a non-coding RNA of Pantherophis guttatus, 1578 nucleotides long. NCBI's taxonomy places the organism in Eukaryota, Metazoa, Chordata, Lepidosauria, Squamata, Colubridae. The record is from RefSeq and is a predicted model, not a curated record.